GCCCCGCCCUCCGGAAGUGCCGCCUUCCCCUGACCCGGCCGCGCGCCUCCUUUUUCACGGCCGGUGCCCGCCACCGUCGCCGCCGCCGCCGCCGCCAUGGGGGGCAAAAACAAGCAGCGAACCAAGGGCAACCUGAGGCCUUCUAGCAGUGGCCGAGCUGCAGAGCUCCUCGCCAAAGAACGUGGAACAGUGCCUGGGUUUAUUGGCUUUGGAACAUCUCAGAGUGAUCUAGGAUACAUUCCUGCAGUUCAAGGAGCAGAGGAAAUAGACAGCCUUGUGGAUGCUGACUUUCGAAUGGUGUUGCGAAAACUUUCUAAAAGGGAUAUCACAACAAAAUUAAAAGCUAUGCAAGAGUUUGGAACAAUGUGCAAGGAAAGAGAAGUGGAAGUAGUUAAAGGUGUUCUUCCUUACUGGCCAAGAAUUUAUUGUAAAAUCUCACUAGAUCAUGAUCGCCGUGUUCGAGAAGCAACUCAGCAAUCUUUUGAGCAACUGAUUCUUAAAGUAAAGAAACACUUAGCUCCUUACUUAAAAAGUAUCAUGGGAUACUGGCUGAUUGCUCAGUGUGACACUUACUCCCCUGCUGCUUCUGCUGCAAAAGUAGCUUUUGAAAAAGCUUUUCCUUCUGGCAAACAACCUGAAGCCUUAGUAUUCUGUAAAGAUGAAAUUCUUAAUGUACUUCAAGAUCACCUUCUGAAAGAAACACCUGAUACGCUCAGUGACCCCCAAACUGUACCAGAGGAAGAAAGGGAAGCCAAAUUUUUCCGGAUUCUGACCUGUUCCUUGUUAGCUUUAAAAAAGUUGCUUAGCAUGUUGCCAAAGAGAGAGAUGCAUUCAUUGGAGGAAAAGUUAAUGCCACUUCUGUCCCAAAACAAAUUUUGGAAAUAUGGCAAACACAGUGUACCACAGGUUCGCUCAGCUUUCUUUGAGCUGACUUCUGCUUUUUGCCAGUACUUGCCUGAGAUGGUGAAAGCUGAAGCACCAAGAGUUUGCCCUGCUGUUCUUCUCAGCAUUGACGACAGUGAUGCAGUGGUGUGUCCUGCUCUUUGGGAAGCUGUACUUUAUGCUGUCACCACUAUUGAGGGUUUCACUGUAACUUUCAAAUAUAUGGUGUCCAGCAUGCCUGAAAAUCAGAGUUGUUUUGACUGUUGGAGUCAUGUAAAUGCCAAAAAGGGAGUUCUACCAAAGCUAUGGACAGUGCUUCGAGAAGGUGGACGAGGACUAGCUACUGUUAUAUACCCAAAUCUCUUGCCAUUCAUUAGCAAGGUACCUCCUGGCCUUGCAGAACCAAAGCUGGAAUAUUUCAGAACUUUUUUCAGCUCUAUAAUUCAAGGGUUGUCAAGUGAGCGAGCAAUAGCCAGCCCUUCAGAAAGUUCAGCAAUUAUAACUGCAUUUAUGGAAUGUUUGCGCUUUGUCAUACUACAGAAAACAGGUGAAGAAGAUGACCAAAGACAAAUUCAUCAAAUGCUUAUAUAUGACCAGCUAAUUCCUCUUACCGAUGCUGUACUUAAGGAGCCCAGGUUACAAAAUGGACCAUUAUUUUAUCAAAUAGCAGAAACACUGAGCUGCUGGGAAGCUAAAGCAGAACUCUCCAAUGAUAACGGCACUGAUGAAGUUUUCAAAAAGCUGUUGUCAGAUUUUUGGGGCCAUCUUUUAAAAAUGUGUGUACUUCACGUCGAUACGUUGGAUGCCGAUGAGAAAUCAUUAUUUGCCAUAUCUAGUAUGCUAGAAAUUCUUCAGAAUCCAAAGCGUGCUACAAAACCAAACAGAAAAUCUCUAAAAAUCAGAUUUAGAGAUGAGGAUGAAUCUGAAAGAAACACAGAGAAUGGAAGGCUCACAGAAGUGAGAAAUAUUGACUCUGAAAUGCAGGCUGACUUGUGGCAUAGUUCACUGCUAAGGAAAGAACCUUUGGAGAAUUUAGUCUGCAACCUUGCUGAACUGAGUAUUGUGUAUGUCAAUGAACAGAAGUCAGAACAGCAUUUGAAAUUUCUCUCUGCCCUGCUCAACUAUUUUUCUUCAAACAGAGUUUUUCAGGUACUUUUAGAGCAGGGAAAUGAUGCAAGCUCUGCUCAAGCUGAAUCCCAAAAUGAAAUGAAAGCUCAUCAUGAAAGUCCAUCUGUACAAUUUCUGUAUAUGAAUUUAAUAACUUGGCUGAAAGAAGAUUGGAGGAAAGACACCCAUUUUCUGGUUGAUGUUUUGUACAGUGUGCUUAACUGUUGCAAUAGUAAUGAUGAAAGGAAAAUAAUUCUUGAUGAUUUAACAAAGAUGGAUCUGAAAUGGAUUAUUUUUCUCCAGAUAAUUCAAAAGGCAUGCUCAAGCACAACAAAACUUUCCUUAGUCUCUGACUGGCUGAAAGGAGAUACACUUGGAGAAAGACUUGUAAUGCUGGCAGAUGAUCUGUGUCACCUGGGUUUAAAACCUACGGCAGCCUCGUCAGAAUCACCCUCUUCAGAAAGGUGGACACUCCUGAGCUUAGUGUUGUCACAACACAUUAAAAAUGAAUCUUUGAUUGGGGAAACUUUUGUUGAAAAGAUUAUUGAUAAACUUCAAGCAGCUCUGUCUAAAGCUAAGGAUCUUUCUGAAGCUGGAAAUACUGAACCAUCAGUAUCUUUCAUCUGUGAUGUAGCCUCAAGCUUUUUCAGCUCAGUUAAAGGGUGUUUACUGAUGCCAUCCUCAGAAGAUUUGCUGCUUACCAUCUUCCAAUUGUGUGCUCAGAGGCAGGAUGCUAUGCACUUAACAGAUUUACUUGUAUGUAAAUUAAAACACACUUGGAUGUCUGGUGUAAGUUCACUUGUGCGUCAACUUUGGAGUAUGCAGAAACAGAGUACCUUUUUGCAUAAAUCUGCACUGUGGGUCAAGAAUCAAAUUCAGUCUUCCUCUUUGGAUGUUAAAAGCCUUCAGGUUUUGAUCUCUGCAGUUAGUGAUUUGUUGUCUAAGCUUAUGGAAGCUGACGGACAGUCUGGAUGUCUUGUGGGAGCUUACGUUGAGCACGUCAUGCCAAACAAAACUGAGUGGGGGAAAUUGCGCGAGUCUCUAUCCACUGAGUGGAUGCACAAACCUCUUUUGGAAGGAAGGCUUAGUAUGAAUUGUGAACCUUUGCGAUCAUGUGUUAAGCUGUGUGGCACAACUAAACUUCCAGGCCAUUUGUGUACUUCAGCCUUAUUAAGUAAAACAGUGCUACUUGUAUUGGAAAAUGGUAUAGUCCAUGGAAAUGAUGAUGCCGAAAGAAAGAAAAUUGACAAUAUAAUUGCAGAACUGUUGUACUCAUUACAAUGGAUUGAAGAAUUGGAGAAUCCUCCUUAUCUGCUUCUGGAAUAUCAUCAUAUGUUGGAACAAAUGCACAUCACAUAUGAGAAGUUCAGUACACUUAGUAAUACACUUAGCCUUCAGCAAACAAUAUUUGAUAGAUCAGAGGAACAUGGAAGACUCUGGUCUUUAACCAUGGCUAAAGUGAUUCGUGUGGAAAAUACAGUAUCCUGUGAGAAGAAACAACUUUUUAAGACAACAGACGGGUUUCUGCCAUUAACAGAGGGCAGAUUGCAUACACUUCAGUGUCUAUCACCUUUUUUAAUUGAGGAAGAAAAGAAAGAACUUGUCUUCCACUGUGUGGCCAAACUUAUGACAUGCACACAGACAGAGCUUUCCAGCACUGAUGGAGCGUUUGGGUGUCUUUCCAUUUUGAACUCCUGCUUGAAUGAUAGAAGUAUUGAUUGUGGUCAUCUACUACCUGGAAUACUAAAAAUCAUAAUGUCUUGGAAAAACGAUAAUGAGGACAGCUUUCUCUUUAGCUGCAAUCUGAAAGAAACAAGUGCUCAGUUGCUUGGUUUCAACAUAGAGAUGAUCCGUUACCUUCCCUUGCUGUUGAAGUAUUCCACAGCUCCUUUGGCCGAUAAUGAAUGGGACUUUAUCAUGUGCUCCAUGCUGGCUUGGUUAGAGACAACAAGUGAAAACUGUUCGCUUUAUCAUGUCCCGCUUGUGCAGAUUUUUGCUUGUGUCAGUUGUGACUUGGCAUCUGCCCUUAGUGCUUACUUUGAAGCUGCAGCUCCUGAAACUACUGAAAAUCUUCCUGUGAACUUGAUCAGUGAAUGGAAAGAAUUCUUUUCUGAGGGAAUUCACAAUUUGCUAUUACCUCUGUUGGUGAAACUCACAGGAGAAACCAAAAAUGCUUCUGAAGGCCCUUUUCAGAACUCUGUGUUAAUGUCUUUGGGCGAAGCUCUAACUUACAUCUCAAAGGACCAGUUGUUGAACCAUAAAUUGCCAGCAAAGUUUGUUGCAGGCCAGAAAACAAAUCUUCCAGAUAAACUCCAGACUCUACUAAAUACAUUAUCUCCAUUGUUGCUUUUCCGGGCUAGACCCGUACAGAUUUCUGUCUACCACAUGUUGUAUAAAUUAAUGCCUGAAUUGCCUAAAUUUGAUGAUGAAGAUCUCAAAUCUUAUGGUGACGAAGAGGAGGAAUCAGCAUUAUCACCUCCAGCAGCUCUUAUGUCUGUCCUGGCCACUCAAGAACUCUUGCUAGAAAACAUACUGGAAUGCAUUCCAGUUGGAGAAUUUGCAGUUAUUCAGCCCCUGAGCGAUGAGUUCUGCCUUGUCCUAGGAUAUCUUCUCACUUGGAAGUUAACAUUAGCUUUCUUCAAAGCAGCUUCUUCUCAGCUGCGAGUUCUCUACUCACAAUACCUUAGAAGAACUAAAAGCUUGAAUAAACUGCUUUAUCACUUGUUCAGGCUUAUGCCUGAAAACCCUGUCUCUUCUGGGCCAACUUCAGAAGUUCCAUAUAUAGACACAAAAACCUUCUUUACGGAAGAGCUUCAUCUAGAUGUCAAAGGGACAGGAGUCCUCUCAUCUCAGAUUCCGCACUUGGCCUGCUCUGUCUACCACAUAACACUGAAAGACUUGCCAGCCAUGGUCAGGCUUUGGUGGAAUAGCUGUGAGAAACGUGUCUUCAAUGUUGUAGAUAAAUUUACAAGCAAAUAUGUCAGCAGUGUGCUUUCUUCACAGGAAAUAACUUCUGUUCAGAAUAGCACACAGUUACUUAGUGGCAUGAUGGUAAAAGCUCGGUCUGCAGCACGGGAAGUCAUUGCUACCUAUUCAGUUGAAGAUAUAUUUAUUGAACUAAUAAUACAGCUUCCAUCAAAUUACCCACUGGGAUCCAUAACAGUUGAGAGUGGAAAGAGGGUUGGUGUGGCUGUACAGCAAUGGCGCAAUUGGAUGCUACAGUUAAGCACAUAUCUUACACAUCAGAAUGGAAGUAUUAUGGAUGGCUUAUCUUUGUGGAAAAAUAAUGUGGAUAAACGUUUUGAGGGCAUUGAAGAUUGCAUGAUCUGUUUUUCAGUCAUUCAUGGUUCCAACUAUUCUCUUCCUAAAAAAGCUUGCAGAACAUGCAAGAAAAAGUUUCAUUCAGCUUGCUUGUACAAAUGGUUCACAUCCAGCAACAAGUCCACCUGUCCACUCUGUCGAGAGACAUUUUUCUGAAAUAAAACGGUCUUUCUUCUUUCUGUGAGUGAAGAUAUAAAUGAAGAGGAGACAAUAAACUGUAUGUUGAAAGAAGCUAACUACUUGGAAAUAAUGUCAGUUACUUUAAAUGCUUGACUAGUGGGAUAUGACACAUAUUUACCUCUGGACUGUUUUUUGUAACACUGGGCUUCCAGAGGAGAAAUUUCGUGAUAUUUUUUGAGAAAGAGAGAAUGGAAAUUAUUUAAAACUGAUAUUGAAAAGGCCUAGCUGAAAACACAGAUUAAGGAGCAAGCUGUCUUGUUUCCUAGCUACUGAUACUAAAACUCCAGGAUUGUUUCCGUUGCAUCACUUUUAUUAUUCUAAAUUACUUCUUUGCAAGUUCAAUAACUGAUUUGAAGGCCAGUUGUGGUUAACCAGGUAUUGCUUGAAAAGAACCAUCUUAAACUCUUCCAGCAGACCUUAACUUGCAAAUUGUCUAUUAGGAACAGCCAUGUGGAGAGCUUUUGUUUUGGUUCUGCUAGAACAAAGAAGUGCAGGCACUUGCAAAGCAGCAGUAUGUCUUUUGACUACUGACAGAGUAGUGCCUAGGGGUGUGGGCGAGCAGAAUUUUUGCUUUCUUCCUGGUAAGUUUGACACUACAUAGAAAGUCUGUACCUGCCGUGCAGCUUAUUCUCAUGCAUAUUGAAUGCAGGAGUAUGCUUCCUAAAACUCUCCAGAAGGCGUCGCUUUCUUUGGUCUUGUAGGAGAAGGGAAUAGGUGUGCCCUGGCAAAUGCUAAGUGUAGGUAUGUGCAGGAUGAUGGGAGCAUAAUAGGAAUCGCUUCUUACAGAACUCACCUGUGUUCUUAGUUGGAUUGCAUUUUGACAAGUGCUUCCACUAAAGUUGCAGCAGACAGCUGAAGCCAGGAGAAUUGACUCAUGAUUUAUUAAAGUGGACGCAUAUAAUUUCCUUGUCUAAAUAUCCAGUUGUUAGAUAGGCUAGUGCAAUCGUUCUUUGUUGAAAGCAUGUUGGUUUAUUACACUUUUUGUUCUGAUUUUCAUUAUUCUGUCCUUUAUAAUUUAAAACUGCAUAUACUGUUGAGCAUUGUGAUCUACUGUGACAGAUGACUGCCUUUUUUUUAUCUCUGAUUACCUCUUUUAAAACUAAUUCUUUAGUUAUAACUAAAAGCUACACAGAUUUAAUUAAAACUUCCUUUUGAUAAA
Molecule: RNA transcript, 6649 nt
Organism: Aquila chrysaetos chrysaetos
Lineage: Eukaryota; Metazoa; Chordata; Aves; Accipitriformes; Accipitridae
Gene: LTN1
Gene name: listerin E3 ubiquitin protein ligase 1
Exons: 32
Source: RefSeq, a predicted model, not a curated record